Molecule: unclassified non-coding RNA, 335 nt
Filed under: soil metagenome
Description: partial contains 5.8S ribosomal RNA, internal transcribed spacer 2, and large subunit ribosomal RNA
Rfam family: 5.8S ribosomal RNA (bases 1-120)
Source: RNAcentral
GAUGAAGAACGUAGCGAAAUGCGAUAAGUAAUGUGAAUUGCAGAAUUCAGUGAAUCAUCGAAUCUUUGAACGCACAUUGCGCCCGCCAGUAUUCUGGCGGGCAUGCCUGUUCGAGCGUCAUUUCAACCAUCAAGCCCCCGGCUUGUGUUGGGGACCUGCGGCUGCCGCAGGCCCUGAAAACCAGUGGCGGGCUCGCUGUCACACCGAGCGUAGUAGAUUUUCAUCUCGCUCAGGGCGUGCUGCGGGUUCCGGCCGUGAAACCCCCUACUUUUAAAGGUUGACCUCGGAUCAGGUAGGAAUACCCGCUGAACUUAAGCAUAUCAAUAAGCGGAGGA